CAUUUUCAUUGCAUAUUUAGAUCAAUCAAAUCUUGACCAGAACCUUCACACAAUCUGGCUCCUUCAGCAGCUCAAAUGCUUUGUUUAUAUCUUCUAGCUCAACUUCAUGUGUCAAGAGUUCAUCAAGAUGGAUUUCCUACGGAAGAAACAAA
Hibiscus syriacus is the source of this 152-nucleotide long non-coding RNA. RefSeq lists it as uncharacterized. The transcript is spliced from 3 exons. The record is from RefSeq and is a predicted model, not a curated record. Lineage: Eukaryota; Viridiplantae; Streptophyta; Magnoliopsida; Malvales; Malvaceae.